Molecule: ribosomal RNA, 273 nt
Filed under: uncultured bacterium
Lineage: Bacteria
Description: partial 16S ribosomal RNA
Rfam family: Bacterial small subunit ribosomal RNA
Source: RNAcentral
UACGUAGGGUGCAAGCGUUGUCCGGAAUUAUUGGGCGUAAAGAGCUGUAGGCGGUUUGUCGCGUCUGCUGUGAAAAAUUCGGGGCUCACCCCGAACUUGCAGUGGUACGGGGCAGACUAGAGUGUGGUAGGGGAGACUGGAAAAUUUUCCUGGGUGUAGCGGGGUGAAAAUUGCGCAGAUAUCAGGGAGGGAAACACCCGAUGGCGAAAGGGCAGGGUCUCUGGGCCCACUACUGACGCUUUGAGAAAGCGAAAGCAUGGGAGCGAAACAGGG